UUUGAUCCUGGCUCAGAACGAACGCUGGCGGCGUGCCUAACACAUGCAAGUCGAGCGAGAAAGCCCGCAAGGGUGAGUAAAGCGGCGCACGGGUGAGUAACACGUGGGUAAUCUGCCCUGGAGUCCGGAAUAACUCGCCGAAAGGCGUGCUAAUGCCGGAUAAGACCACGGGAGCCUCGGCUCCUGAGGGAAAAGGUGGCCUCUGUACACAAGCUAUCUCUCCAGGAUGAGCCCGCGUCCCAUCAGCUAGUUGGCGGGGUAAUGGCCCACCAAGGCUACGACGGGUAGCUGGUCUGAGAGGACGAUCAGCCACACUGGAACUGAGACACGGUCCAGACUCCUACGGGAGGCAGCAGUGGGAAUCUUGCGCAAUGGGCGAAAGCCUGACGCAGCAACGCCGCGUGUGUGAUGAAGGUCUUCGGAUCGUAAAGCACUGUCGCGAGGGACGAAUAAGUUUCCGGCUAACAUCCGGGGACGAUGACGGUACCUCGAGAGGAAGCACCGGCUAACUCUGUGCCAGCAGCCGCGGUAA
Molecule: ribosomal RNA, 532 nt
Filed under: uncultured Anaeromyxobacter sp.
Lineage: Bacteria; Pseudomonadati; Myxococcota; Myxococcia; Myxococcales; Anaeromyxobacteraceae
Description: bacterial SSU rRNA
Rfam family: Bacterial small subunit ribosomal RNA
Source: RNAcentral